This is a long non-coding RNA of Drosophila nasuta, 433 nucleotides long. RefSeq lists it as uncharacterized. NCBI's taxonomy places the organism in Eukaryota, Metazoa, Arthropoda, Insecta, Diptera, Drosophilidae. The record is from RefSeq and is a predicted model, not a curated record. The transcript has 3 exons.
AUGCAUUUAACGCACAAUUAUUUGUAUAAAUCGGUAAUAUAUAUUGCCGAUUUGUUAUUAAUUCGCGAACGUGAUUUUGAAGCGUGGAAGAAAUAAAACGCCGACGAUAUAUCCAGUGUGACCGUUAUACGAAUAUAUUGGUAACACUUUAUUAGUUAUGGGAAGUAUUCCAAAUGUGUGUCUGAAUGAGCGCAAUUUUUUGAAUAGCAUCUCUGUGAUGGAAAGGAUAACAAUGACUUGGCGCGAAAUUUUGAAAUAAAGCAAAAUUAUAAAAUGUUGAAUAUUGUUUCAUUUUACUGUAAAUGUGUAUUUUAUUAUUAAAUAUUUAGUAACGUUUUUAUAUAUUUUGAAAAAAAAAUUAAAUUUUAUGACUAAAUUGUAUUAUAUUCCAAAACUAGAGAUUGGUACAAAUGACUAAUUGUUAUAUAUAAAA